CCCUGUAAGAGGGGGAACCCCGGAAACUGGGGAUAAUACCCCAUAGAUUAGGGAGGCUGGAAUGCCCCCUAGUUCAAAGGUCCGCCGCCUCAGGAUGGGUCUGCGGCCGAUUAGGUUGUUGUUGGGGUAACGGCCCAACAAGCCUUUGAUCGGUACGGGUUGUGGGAGCAAGAGCCCGGAGAUGGAUUCUGAGACACGAAUCCAGGCCCUACGGGGCGCAGCAGGCGCGAAAACUUUACAAUGCGAGAAAUCGUGAUAAGGGAACCCCGAGUGCCCGUAAAUUCGGGCUGUCCGCCAGUGCAAAAAACUGGUGAAGAAAGAGCCGGGCAAGACCGGUGCCAGCCGCCGCGGUAAUACCGGCGGCUCGAGUGGUGGCCACUAUUACUGGGCUUAAAGCGUCCGUAGCUGGGUUGUUAAGUCUCCUGGGAAAUCCAUCGGCUCAACCGAUGGGCGUUCAGGAGAUACUGGCGACCUAGGGACCGGGAGAGGUGAGAGGUACUCCAGGGGUAGGAGUGAAAUCCUGUAAUCCUUGGGGGACCACCUGUGGCGAAGGCGUCUCACCAGAACGGCUCCGACAGUGAGGGACGAAAGCUGGGGGAGCAAACCGGAUUAGAUACCCGGGUAGUCCCAGCUGUAAACGAUGCGCGUUAGGUGUAUCGGUGACCACGAGUCACCGAGGUGCCGAAGAGAAAUCGUGAAACGUGCCGCCUGGGAAGUACGGUCGCAAGGCUGAAACUUAAAGGAAUUGGCGGGGGAGCAC
RNAcentral lists this ribosomal RNA (760 nucleotides) under uncultured archaeon. RNAcentral's name for it is "bacterial SSU rRNA". It matches the Rfam family "Archaeal small subunit ribosomal RNA", at positions 112 to 879 of the family's 1478-position model. The record is from RNAcentral.